ACGGGGGGAGCAAGCGUUGUUCGGAUUUACUGGGCGUAAAGGGCGCGUAGGCGGCCUCCGCAAGUCAGUUGUGAAAUCUCCGAGCUUAACUCGGAAAGGUCAACUGAUACUGCGGGGCUAGAGUGCGGAAGGGGCAACUGGAAUUCUUGGUGUAGCGGUGAAAUGCGUAGAUAUCAAGAGGAACACCUGCGGCGAAGGCGGGUCCCUGGACAACACCUGACACUGAGGCACGAAAGCCGGGGGAGCAAACAGGA
This 254-nucleotide ribosomal RNA is filed under the name uncultured prokaryote. RNAcentral describes it as "partial 16S ribosomal RNA". It matches the Rfam family "Bacterial small subunit ribosomal RNA", at positions 525 to 777 of the family's 1533-position model. The record is from RNAcentral.